RNAcentral lists this ribosomal RNA (660 nucleotides) under Longidorus cheni. RNAcentral describes it as "LSU rRNA". It matches the Rfam family "Eukaryotic large subunit ribosomal RNA", at positions 429 to 867 of the family's 3401-position model. The record is from RNAcentral. Lineage: Eukaryota; Metazoa; Nematoda; Enoplea; Dorylaimida; Longidoridae.
UCGUAGUGGCCCGCCGGAAUCAGUCGAAUGAUGCGCGAAUGCGCGCGUUACGCCGGAGCGUGAAAGUCCGGUACGCGUGUUCGUAAAGCAAGUAGCGUUCAUUCGAUGCAUUUCCGGUGGGUAUGCGCCGCGACCGAUGCGAUAAGCUAUCGAAGCGUUCGGAUUGAGGUCGAAAGCCCUUGCCGGUUCUUCGUAACCAGUCCGUUCGUGGCCGUUAGACGUAAGCAUCGAGCGCCCAGUAUAAAAUGAAACGUUGGCAUAUUGCUCAGCCGAUACGGUGGACAGUCGACGGAGUGGUUGGCGCCUGCUCGCAGGCGACCCGCUCGCUCUCGUCGGCGUACGCGAAACCGUGGCUGACGCAAGAACGUUUCGGCGUCAGCGGCGUCCGAGACGGUCACCCGUCCGACCCGUCUUGAAACACGGACCAAGGAGUCUAACGUAUGCGCGAGCUAAUGGGCGGAAAACCCAUAAGCGCAAUAAAAGUGAAAGCCUUCCUCGCGUUGGCGUUAGGUACGAUCCUAGGUGAAUUCAUACGUUCGCCUAGGCGCAGUACCGUCCCGUCUAAAUCGCUCGUCGAUUGGGCGGAGAUUGAGCGUAUACGUUGGGACCCGAAAGAUGGUGAACUAUGCCUGAGCAGAGCGAAGCCAGAGGAAACUCUGG